Macadamia integrifolia is the source of this 2891-nucleotide long non-coding RNA. RefSeq lists it as uncharacterized. The transcript is spliced from 2 exons. Lineage: Eukaryota; Viridiplantae; Streptophyta; Magnoliopsida; Proteales; Proteaceae. The record is from RefSeq and is a predicted model, not a curated record.
UAGCGACGCCUAUCAGCCAAUGGCGACCACCAUUUGUGAGUCACGUAAAUUGUAGCAUUGUCAUGAACUUCUUUUUCUGCCAGGACGCCAAAUCGCCGCCUUGGCGACGCCAUGACAACUAUGUUUCCCUCCAGUCAGCUCUAUUCAAAACCAUACUUGUUACUAGUCCUAAGCUAUGCAUGUCUUUCUUUACCUAUUCUCCUAGAGUCAUUUUAAGCCUCCCCUCGCUCUUUUAGCUCCAAUUUGUAUCAGAUCACCCCUAUACUGGAGCAUUCAAAGGCCUCCAUUGCAUAUAUACAUGUUGUGGCUACAAAUCCUCUUUUCUCCUCAAAUAGUCCUUCUGAUGCAAGUGGUUCAGACCUAUCAUGGUGAUUCUUAGACAAGUAAGAUUAAUGGUCAGCUGUCAAAUUCCUUAUAUCAUGGAUGAAGACUAAAACCAUAGGCAUGAGAUAAGAUGUGGGUUUUUGGGUAAAAUCAGCUAAGUCACUGCUCAUUGUACUGUUCAUGUGGUACAUUGUUUAGAUAAUGUUUCAAUUGAAGUGUUAUGAAAUCUGUGGGAUCUUUUUUUUUUUUAGCGACUUCGAGGAAUCCUCUCUCUCUCUCCACUUUGAUUAUAUUCUCAAAAUUUUUGGCCAUGAUAGUACAGUUUGACUUUGAUUUUGUGGUCUUUGACUACUAAUUCGGCAUAAAAUGCUAAUCCUUUUCACUGACUAGGAAAUCUGCGGGAUCUUUUUUUUACUGACUAGUAAUUUCUAACUACCUAAUGCUAAUCCCUGAUGAUUCUAAUUAGUUGACUGUACUUCCAAAUGAAUGAUCAAUUGUAAAAUCAACCACCAAAUAGAACUUCAAUAAAUCAUUGUUAUCGAUUGAAAAACCAAAAGACUUCAAAGAGUAGGAUGAUAUUAUUUCAUAUGGCCGUCCCACCAAUUUGCUCAUAAAGUAUAGUGGGGGUGUAUAGAAAUUUGAUACAUUUUUGCAACCAAGAUAGAUUUCACACUUUCACCAAUCAAAGGUGCUUCCCUUGCAGGUGAUCAAACCAAUGCUCAAAAUCCCCUACAUUUUGUUGUUCUGGCAAAAUUCUCUUUUUAUUUUAUAUAGACUAAAAAUAGGUAGGAUAAAUAAAAUUGUAAAUGUUGAAUGAGAAGUUGGUGACAUAUGUCCUCCUAAGUUGAGAAAUGGAUUAAAAGAAGGGUGUGAUUGGAAGUUUGAUAAAAGAAGAAUAUGAUCAUAUUCAUGACCAAAUUAUUAGUGGUCCUAGCAUCUUAGAGAAUCUUAAAUAAUAUUCAUCUCUUGAGAUAACAGUUAAAAUUAAUUAUAUUUGAAGUACAUAUUAAUUUUCUGCAUGAUAUACAACUCUUAGUCAUAUUGGUAUUGUUAUAAAAAAGAAUCUAAAAUUCUUAAUUAUAGAUUUUAGAAAAAUCCUGAAAAUAAUCAUCUAGUCUGCACACUAUUGUAAAAGUCUGAAGUUUGAUAUGCUUUGGCUAUAAGGUAGAAAGUAAAUGUUUUAUCUCUUUUUAUCCUUUCUCCAGAUUUUUUUCAGGAAAUUCAUUGCGACAGGCCCCCAAGAAAAGUUUGUGUUCUUUUUUUUUUCCUUCCCCCUUUGGAUUAUUGGGAGAGAAACAAAUAAAACAAAACAAAAUGCUGCCAGAAAUAUUGUGGUGCUGCCACAAGGUAUGAAACUUACCACAGUCACAAUUUUAGCUGUAUCCAACGUCCAAGCUCCCAAUGAGAUUGCCUUCUUUUCUUCUGAAUGAAACUCAUUUGUCCUCACACAGGAAUUUUAUUCUAUAACUGAUUCCUGAAAAACAAGUAGCAGCUUCUCAAUUUGAGGAAACAAAUUCCUUGAAUAUUUGAAAAGCUUGACACAUAGCUGUGCCAUUUUCUUCUCUUUCUCAGAGAUUCACUUCGAACUGCACAUCAGAAAUUCCCACAUUUUGCGAAUAUUUUUUCUGGGUUUGGGAACAGGUUUGGGUCUCUGAAUGUGUUUCCAUUUCUAAGGUCGCUUUGUUGGCGUCACCUUGCAUUGAAGCCCCCUCCAAUGCAUUGGGUUGCCUAGGCAUCCAAGGCGACCAAGGUGCUUGGACGCCUAAGCGACACUUAGGUUACGCCUUGACAACUAUAAGCGACAAUUAGGUUAUGCCUUGACAACUAUGAUCUAAAUGUAUUUCCAAUAUAUAUUUACAGCAAAUUUGACUAGCAUAUUUGCUGGACAUGUGAGAAGUACAUCGAGGCAUUAUUUCCUUUUCUGUAAGACUUGUGUCGCUUCCAUGCCAUCAUUAUAUCAAAUGCCCUAAGUUGCAAUAUUCUAGCACAAUUGUUCAGUCAAGACAAAUGAACUAUCUUCUAAUGGAAUAUUGUUGAGACAUUCUGCAAUUGUUCAGUCAAGACAAACAAACUAUCUUUUGAUGGAUGCUUUGGACCAUUCUUCUGGAGGUGCAUACGCAAGGGAAUUAGCUUGUGGCCGUGGCUGAAGCAGACAACAUAACCCUGUGCAUAUGCAAGGGAAUUAGCUCAUGGCCUUGGCUGAAGCAAACAACAUAACCCUGUAAGCAAGAUGUCGAGAUUUGGACUUUUCUCAAAUCUGAUCCAUAAUAUUUUCCUCUAGCUACUCCUUUGAAGAUGCUUUUUGCACUUAUCUCAAGCUUUAUCAGAGUCGAGCUUCUAAAAAUUAUUUACGAAUAUGGAGCACUGUCGUGAGGCAUCAAUAUGUACUGCAGCUGUGGUCACAUGUAGCUCUCAUUUAAGCGCUUCAAAGGCUAAAGAAAGCAUUUAGAAAUAUUUCUUUCUUACUUUUAGCCAGAACAUUUGUGUGAAUGCUGUCGGUCCCCGUAUCUACUUUCUUUGGAAGUACCAUGAAGUAUCAAGGUAGUUAGCAGCCUCUUUACUUUGAA